GACGAACGCUGGCGGCGUGCUUAACACAUGCAAGUCGAACGGAAAGGCCCUGCUUUUGUGGCGUGCUCGAGUGGCGAACGGGUGAGUAACCCGUGAGUAACCUGCCCUUGACUUUGGGAUAACUUCAGGAAACUGGGGCUAAUACCGGAUAGGAGCUCCUGCUGCAUGGUGGGGGUUGGAAAGUUUCGGCGGUUGGGGAUGGACUGGCGGCUUAUCAGCUUGUUGGUGGGGUAGUGUCUUACCAAGGCUUUGACGGGUAGCCGGCCUGAGAGGGUGACCGGCCACCUUGGGACUGAGAUACGGCCCAGACUCCUACGGGAGGCAGCAGUGGGGAAUAUUGCACAAUGGGCGGAGGCCUGAUGCAGCAACGCCGCGUGCGGGAUGAAGGCCUUCGGGUUGUAAACCGCUGUCGCCUGUGACGAAGAGUGAGUGACGGUAAUGGGUAAAGAAGCACCGGCUAACUACGUG
RNAcentral lists this ribosomal RNA (468 nucleotides) under uncultured bacterium. RNAcentral describes it as "partial 16S ribosomal RNA". It matches the Rfam family "Bacterial small subunit ribosomal RNA", at positions 28 to 507 of the family's 1533-position model. The record is from RNAcentral.